RNAcentral lists this long non-coding RNA (402 nucleotides) under Pan troglodytes (chimpanzee). Its description in RNAcentral is "lincRNA". Lineage: Eukaryota; Metazoa; Chordata; Mammalia; Primates; Hominidae. The record is from RNAcentral.
CCAUGCCUUUCCUAUGUGGAUAAUCAGCAAAGCUGAGGACAUUGGGAAGCAACUCAGGAUUGCCAGUUUACAGCUCUUCUGGAUGUGCACUGGUUAAUGCAUGGAAUUCAGCAACAGCAGACUUUGUUCCUUUGAUGGAUCCAGAAGAUCGCCACAUCAAGGAAUAUGGUGGUAAAACUGCAAGAUAAUCUGCCACCCCUAACAACUAUAGAAGUUCUAAGGAUGUUAGAGACUCAUAGAGAGGAAUUCUAAUGGCCAUACUUGAACCGUUGCAGCAAUACACUCAGAAGAUUGGUGAAAGAAAAGAAAGACAUUUUGAAAGUGAUUUUCAAAAAACAGUUAAUCCAGAAUUCCAUAUUUAGCAAAAUUAUACUUCAAGAAUGAAUGUGACAUGAUAACGUC